CGGCAUGUCCAGAAACUGGAAUGCCUCCCCCACCUGCCCCCCGCCAGGCUUCUUACACAAUCCAGGACCCAGACGGACCAACAGACUGUUUGGGACUCCGCACUGCACCCCCAAUCUCUCUGCGUUGGAGAACCCCAAGAAGCUGUGCGGAUGGAUGGUGGAAGGUGAAGAACCAGUGGCCUGUAGCCUCUGGGAUGACCUGUUUCAACUGACGAAAGAAAUUUGUUUGGCACACACUUGGCUCAAAAACCAAAGGAACAAAGCAAAGCCCCCUUUAGGAUGUCAGCCCCAGACUACAGGAGUCCGCUUGAAAUCUCUCAGCUUUAAGA
This is a long non-coding RNA of Hipposideros armiger (great roundleaf bat), 329 nucleotides long. RefSeq lists it as uncharacterized. The record is from RefSeq and is a predicted model, not a curated record. Lineage: Eukaryota; Metazoa; Chordata; Mammalia; Chiroptera; Hipposideridae. The transcript is spliced from 3 exons.